AAACUUAGCCGCAAAAAAAUAGAAAAAAGAAAAAAGAAAGAAACUUAGCCGCCGUCCCGACCAGAUCUAGCCCAAAUCGCCUCCUGCUCCGACCCUAGCCGCCGCCGCCGACCGCCCUCCGCCGCCCGACCCCAGCAGCCCUCGACCACCCAUCGCACCAGCCUUCCUCCCGGACCAAUGCUGCGGCCGAGCAACCUCCUCCGCCGCCGUCAAGUACCCUCCUCCGCAGAUCUCAUCCACCCUCCGCCACAUCCCUAGCGCCGCCCAAAUGUCGCCGCUCCCUCAAUGCUUUCUUCCUGGGCAACAGCGUCUCCUUGCAUCUCUCCUGAACUGUCGAGAUGAGGCGUGCAGCGGGAUAGGUUUUGGCGGCGCCGGCCCCUCCUGGUCGUCCUACUCCGGUGCGUGCUCCUCCGCCCCAGGUCACGUCGUGCGUGCUCCUCCGUCUCCCCCUCUUGUACUUCGAGCCUGAGAAUCACAAGUCAAUAGAUGUUGGUGUCUCAGAGCGACAGGUAAUACCAUUUAAAAAUUUCAAUGAUUAAUGACACCACAUGGUCGAGCACUUAUGCCAAAUCUUCUUCCUCUGCUUUGAAGAAAAUAGCAGAGCACUCGGAUGGAUGAAUGUAUCUGGAACCGUCAGUCUCAGCCAGUGCAGACCGCUUUAGCAACAGUUGACGCUUUGUUUUACUUGUAAAUAUUUGUUACAAAGUGCAAUUUUCAGCUGCAAACAUUCAGCCUAUACUAUGUACUGCAUGUGUUACUAAUAAUUGCUGCCUGGUAUCUUGUCUGACCAGAAACAUAUGGUCAUUUUAGUAAUAGCAACAUCAAAGUAGAAAUUAGCUUGGGCAGGGAAGUCUUCUGUUUGUUUUUAGGUUCUAGCGAACAACAUAGUUCUUGUGUUGUUUUGGCCGUGUUUGGGUUCCUUUUGCUUUCUCUUGUACCGGAUAUCCUUUUGCAUUUGCUUCGCUUUUAAUGCUUGAUUUGUCUGUUACAGGAUACAGUAGACACUGCAGGUUGGCUGCGUCCGUGCCGCUGCUUUGGCCUAAGAUGGAUUCAAUUAAUUGAGGAAAAAUAAGGGCAACAUCUAGGUGUCAAAGUAAUGAUAUACAGAUGAUAUCAGAGGGUCUUCCUCCGCUUUGAGCAAUACCAUCUUAGGUUGGCAUCCUCACUGGAAGAUGUUUCUACAUGAUAGUAGUUGUAGCAGUCAACUAGGAUGUCUAUAUAAUGGUUCUUUCUACAGUAACACCUUCAAAGCAUUGCAAGCACGUGACUCUUCUGCUGGAGACAUGUGGCCAUCUUUGAAUAAUACAAUUUCACAGGAUGGUUGCAACCAUGUGUUGAGCUUAAACCAUAUGUGUACCUUAGUAUGAAGACUCAAAAUCUUAUCGUCUUAUGUAAAGUUUGUUUACCGUUGUAGCUGGUUGCUAUUGAACACAUGUAUGGAUGUUGAAGUAUUGAUUUUUUUCAGUCUAAAAAUAUUUCUAAAGUUCAAGGUUU
This is a long non-coding RNA of Triticum aestivum (bread wheat), 1494 nucleotides long. RefSeq lists it as uncharacterized. The record is from RefSeq and is a predicted model, not a curated record. The transcript is spliced from 4 exons. NCBI's taxonomy places the organism in Eukaryota, Viridiplantae, Streptophyta, Magnoliopsida, Poales, Poaceae.